RNAcentral lists this ribosomal RNA (497 nucleotides) under uncultured bacterium. RNAcentral's name for it is "partial 16S ribosomal RNA". It matches the Rfam family "Bacterial small subunit ribosomal RNA", at positions 28 to 506 of the family's 1533-position model. The record is from RNAcentral.
GACGAACGCUGGCGGCGUGCCUAAUACAUGCAAGUCGAACGAGAGCGACCGGUGCUUGCACUGGUCAAUCUAGUGGCGAACGGGUGAGUAACACGUGGGUAACCUGCCCAUCAGAGGGGGAUAACAUCCGGAAACGGAUGCUAAAACCGCAUAGGUCUUCGAGCCGCAUGGCUUGAAGAGGAAAAGAGGCGCAAGCUUCUGCUGAUGGAUGGACCCGCGGUGCAUUAGCUAGUUGGUGAGGUAACGGCUCACCAAGGCCGUGAUGCAUAGCCGACCUGAGAGGGUGAUCGGCCACAUUGGGACUGAGACACGGCCCAAACUCCUACGGGAGGCAGCAGUAGGGAAUCUUCCGCAAUGGACGCAAGUCUGACGGAGCAACGCCGCGUGAGUGAAGAAGGUUUUCGGAUCGUAAAACGCUGUUGCUAGAGAAGAACAAGUGCUAGAGUAACUGUUAGCGCCUUGACGGUAUCUAACCAGAAAGCCACGGCUAACUACGU